CUAAUAUUACUGGGCCCCGAUUCUCCUAAGUAAAUAAUGUCAAAAUCGAAUAGAAAUCGAAUCGCAAUAUGAUCACAAUAGCAGUUUUAACCACAUCGGGCAUUCUGCUACUAAUAAAAGACCAAUCGUAUUCGAUUGACAUAUUUUGAUUGGUGUGCGAUUGGUCUGCUAUUUUGGUGAUUUUGGUCUAUACGGUAGUUUGCUACAGCAAACUGAUUCACGAUUUACGAUUUACUUUAUAACUUUAUUAAUUAUUUGAUUUAUUAAACAUAUGCAGACAAAAUGAUUCAUUAUUGAAUGACAGAAAAGGAUGAAAACGUUUAUUUCAAAUAAAAUGGAGAGUCAAUUUGUAAUUUAUUACCGCUGCAUAAAGUUCAAAUUCGCGUGCGCGUUGGAGGAUCUAAUAUCGCGUUCUGAAACUCAACAAACGCGACAAAAUUGCAUAGUCUCAAAAUACAUAGUACAUAAAUAGUGGUCGGCUUCGAGAAACUCAAUUUUAACUAACUUCAGCUGUUAAUCUGUCCGAUUAUUUUUUUAAUAAGACUAUAUAGAAAUCGAAAGAUAAAUCUUAAGUUAAAUUUCUGAACGCAAUCAUAAUAUUUGACAUUAGAUUUGACAACCAACUAAUACCUAUGUCAAUCCAUCCUGUCGCAUUUCAGAGCACGUGUUACGAGUUACGAUAUCUAUGAGUGCAUCCUUCUAUCUUUGUGGCUACGUGCGCGAGAACUUUCUUUACUUUGGUGAUCCUUUGAUAGUGACAUUCCAUAGGCUAUAUAAAAUUCUAUAUUGCCCACGCAGACAAAGUCGCGGGCAACAACUAGUCUAUAAUAUAAAAAUGAAUCGCAAAAUGUGUUGGUAAGCGCAUAACUCAACAACGCCUGGACCAAUUUGGCUAAUUCUUUUUUUGUUGUGUUUGUUAUUGUCAGAAAAAAAUAGGGUAAAGUAGAGAAGUCAGUUGACGGGAGCGAAGCCGCGGGCAAAAGCUAGUUACAAAUAUAAUUUGUAAUUACCAUAUCACAAAUUUUCGCGAAUUUAAACGUUAUAUACGAGUUUUGAUGCGUCAUUAUGCUUUGGAUAUAGUCACAAAAAAAUAACAAAAAAAAGAUUAAGAAAGUUUGAUCAUUUAUCUUGGGAGUGUUCUAAAUAAAUAUUGGUCUAUUUAAGAGUAAAACAAUAUAUUAAAAUAAUUUUUGUUUGCAAUGCAAAGAAUCAAUAUAAAUCUUGUGACGCGCGGCGGCGGCGCGGUGUUCAACUUUAGUCAGCGCCAAGCGCUUACCAAGGAAGGACGUAUCGCUCGCUGUUGCGCCGCGUAAACUCGCCGGAGUUCGGAAAAUAUAGCGCAACUAACACGUUUUGAUACAACAUAAUUCAUAAUCAUGGGAAAAAGAGACAAAAGAAGAAUAUUUGGUGCUGUCAGAAUUAAAAAAAAAGUUUUGGCCGAUAAUUUAAAACGCGCAAGGGAAGCUCAGAGGCAAAAAAGAGCUCAAAUGCAGCAGGAGCAAGUAAAGGCAAAUGAAAAUAUUGCUUCUGAUUUAACAAAGGUAAGUGUUGAUCACCUAUUGACAUAAUUCGCUUAGGGAACUACUAAUAUUACUGGGCCCCGAUUCUCCUAAGUUAAUAAUGUCAAAAUCGAAUAGAAAUCGAAUCGCAAUAUGAUCAUAAUAGCAGUUUUAACCACAUCGGGCAUUCUGCUACUAAUAAAAGACCAAUCGUAUUCGAUUGACAUAUUUUGAUUGGUGUGCGAUUGGUCUGCUAUUUUGGUGAUUUUGGUCUAUACGGUAGUUUGCUACAGCAAACUGAUUCACGAUUUACGAUUUACUUUAUAACUUUAUUAUUUGAUUUAUUAAACAUUUGCAGACAAAAUGAUUCAUUAUUGAAUGACAGAAAAGGAUGAAAACGUUUAUUUCAAAUAAAAUGGAGAGUCAAUUUGUAAUUUAUUACCGCUGCAUAAAGUUCAAAUUCGCGUGCGCGUUGGAGGCUCUAAUAUCGCGUUCUGAAACUCAACAAACGCGACAAAAUUGCAUAGUCUCAAAAUACAUAGUACAUAAAUAGUGGUCGGCUUCGAGAAACUCAAUUUUAACUAACUUCAGUUGUUAAUCUGUCCGAUUAUUUUUUUAAUAAGACUAUAUAGAAAUCGAAAGAUAAAUCUUAAGUUUUGUCAGAAAUUAAAUUAUAAAUCUUAAGUUAAAUUUCUGAACGCAAUCAUAAUAUUUGACAUUAGA
Molecule: long non-coding RNA, 2222 nt
Organism: Helicoverpa armigera (cotton bollworm)
Lineage: Eukaryota; Metazoa; Arthropoda; Insecta; Lepidoptera; Noctuidae
Exons: 3
Source: RefSeq, a predicted model, not a curated record